UGGUCGGGAUAGCUCACUGGUAGAGCAGAGGACUG
This 35-nucleotide transfer RNA is filed under the name Dorcoceras philippense. RNAcentral describes it as "partial tRNA-Phe". The record is from RNAcentral. Lineage: Eukaryota; Viridiplantae; Streptophyta; Magnoliopsida; Lamiales; Gesneriaceae.